RNAcentral lists this transfer RNA (84 nucleotides) under Acholeplasmatales bacterium. Its description in RNAcentral is "tRNA-Leu". It matches the Rfam family "tRNA". Rfam says of the family: Transfer RNA (tRNA) molecules are approximately 80 nucleotides in length. Lineage: Bacteria; Bacillati; Mycoplasmatota; Mollicutes; Acholeplasmatales. The record is from RNAcentral.
CCGGGUGUGGCGAAAUUGGCAGACGCACUAGACUUAGGAUCUAACGCCCUUGGCGUGCAGGUUCAACUCCUGUCACCCGGACCA